CCUACGGGUGGCAGCAGUGAGGAAUAUUGGUCAAUGGCCGAAAGUCUGAACCAGCCAAGCAGCGUGAAGGAUGAAUGCCCUAUGGGUCGUAGACUUCUUUUGUCGGGGGAUAAAACGAGGGACGUGUGCCUUUCUGCAUGUACUUUAUGAAUAAGCAUCGGCUAACUCCGUGCCAGCAGCCGCGGUAAUACGGAGGAUCCGAGCGUUAUCCGGAUUCAUUGGGUUUAAAGGGUGCGUAGGUGGGGUGUUAAGUCGGCUGUGAAAGUUUGGGGCUCAACCGCAGAAGUGCAGUUGAUACUGGGAGCCUUGAGUGCAGCGGAGGUAUGCGGAAUUCGUGGUGUAGCGGUGAAAUGCAUAGAUAUCACGAAGAACCCCGAUUGCGAAGGCAGCUUACCAAGCCGCGACUGACGUUGAGGCUCGAAAGUGUGGGGAUCAAACAGGAUUAGAUACCCCAGUAGUC
Molecule: ribosomal RNA, 460 nt
Filed under: uncultured bacterium
Lineage: Bacteria
Description: partial 16S ribosomal RNA
Rfam family: Bacterial small subunit ribosomal RNA
Source: RNAcentral